GUAUAAAGGGAGCAAGUCGGUUGUGGUGUGCCGAGACCGACGAUACGGUAGGCCUGUAAAUAAAGAGGGCCCACCAAGGAGUAAGUAAGUAAAGUAAAUGGAAAGAAAAGAGAAAGUGUUGAAAUGAGGAGUGGGUGGGAGGGUCAUUCUGAUGCUGACCUCAAGCGACAUGAGUCAGGUAAGGGGUGUCCCUUAUAUAGGGGAGUGAAUUAAUUUAAGCCCCUCCCACAAAUACAGGCCAAAUGGCCUUAAAACUUGUGUUCGGG
This is a non-coding RNA of Pelobates cultripes (western spadefoot toad), 266 nucleotides long. The record is from the annotation of a GenBank genome assembly. NCBI's taxonomy places the organism in Eukaryota, Metazoa, Chordata, Amphibia, Anura, Pelobatidae.